UUCAUCGUUGUCCUUGAGGGAAAACCUGAGGGCCUAGCAGGGCUCCCGCAAGUUGAAGCGAGCCACUGUGCAGGGUGAACCUGCACCCAGGGCUGCCCAGGAAGCCGCCAGUCAGGAGCAGGUGCAGAGUCUCUGGAAGGAACUCCAGGAUACAGUGUGGCCUCCACAGCAUCAGGCAGCCAGGGAGAUGCAAACAUGUCUGCUAUGGAUGCUGACAAUGAGACCCCCCUCUUCCCUGCCAGGGCCUCUUAGUUUGGUGGCAGCAGUGGGAUCCAAAGGAGACAUCUGAUGGCUUAGGGGAUGAGAAACACAGGCAUUGGUACCCGCAAAACCUUUGAGUUCUCCAUCUUUGUCACUGAUUCUGAGAGCCGUGGAGUCAGCUCCAGAGUUUCAGCCAGCAGCAGAAGCAGAGCUGUGGGCAGUGGUGGAGGUAGAGCUGGCUCCAGCUCCGUUGACACCACCCCCUCUAGCACUGGAGCCAGUGUCCCCUCUACCAGCAGUGUUGGAGCUGGAGCAAGGGCCAACAUGGGCUCCAGCAGGAGUGGGAGCUGCUGAGUUGGAGUCACCUGGACCAUCAUUUCUAGUGGGAAGUCCAUCUCCACCUGUGGCUAAGAAGUGUGAAAAGAAGCCCAACCUACGGCCUUCCCUCCUAAGCUGGUGGUGGAGCAGUUGACUGUGAUGGAUGCGGAGCUCUUCCGGAAGGUGGUGCCCUCUCAGUGCCUGGGCUCCACCUGGGGCAAGAGGAAUAAGCCCAGCAAUGAGCACCUGGCACACACCGUCCGGGCCACCAUCGACCACUUCAGAAGGGUGGCCAGCCUCGUCGUCACCACCUGCCUCGGGGACCCGAGCAUGAUGGCCCAGGACAGGGUGAGGGUGGUGGAGCGCUGGAUCCAGGUGGCCCAGGUGUGCUGUGGGAGGCCCAGUGGAGCCCCUCUCUGGAGCCUUGGGAACUGCCUCCACCUUUAUCAGGUCCCAGGAUUGCAGUGUGUGGUCUAAGCACACUGCAAGUCCCUAGGCCCUUCUUGCCAGGGGAAUGCUGACCUUGACUCCAGGUCCCAGUGCGGGGAUGCUCACUUCCUACCUGGAUCCCUCCUUGGGUUGAGCUAAAAUCCUCCUCCUUGUGAGUGUUACUCUUUGGGUCCUAAAUGUGCCCUUCUGGGGCUCCCUGAGCAUCUGUCUCAUCCAGGAGAGGAGAUUUAAAUAGAAGGGGACUGAAGCUAGAGCAAGCAGGGCUCCAGCGCCCCACCUCACAGCUCAUUCUCUUCCCUUCCCCAGGAGUGCAAGAUCCUGAAGAACUUCUCCUCGCCCUGCACUGUCAUCUCUGUUCUGCAGAAAACAUCCAUAUGCCACCUGAAGAACACAUGGGGGAAGUUUCCUGGUGGGUAGGCCUCUCUCCAUAGGAGGACCAGGGUGGAUGGGGGAUCUCCCGUACGUCUGCCAUUGGCCCCUCAGUCAGCUGGGAACUCCUGGGUGGCAGCAAAUGCUUGGAACAGGGCCUGGGCCUCAGCGGUGGGUCUCUAAGUCUCCUGGUGUCUUUAGUGCACCAAUUCUGCUUCA
Molecule: RNA transcript, 1557 nt
Organism: Diceros bicornis minor
Lineage: Eukaryota; Metazoa; Chordata; Mammalia; Perissodactyla; Rhinocerotidae
Gene name: ral-GDS-related protein-like
Exons: 4
Source: RefSeq, a predicted model, not a curated record